RNAcentral lists this ribosomal RNA (619 nucleotides) under uncultured bacterium. Its description in RNAcentral is "bacterial SSU rRNA". It matches the Rfam family "Bacterial small subunit ribosomal RNA", at positions 338 to 950 of the family's 1533-position model. The record is from RNAcentral.
CCUACGGGAGGCAGCAGUGGGGAAUUUUGGACAAUGGGCGCAAGCCUGAUCCAGCCAUGCCGCGUGCGGGAAGAAGGCCUUCGGGUUGUAAACCGCUUUUGUCAGGGAAGAAAUCCUUUGGGCUAAUACCUCGGAGGGAUGACGGUACCUGAAGAAUAAGCACCGGCUAACUACGUGCCAGCAGCCGCGGUAAUACGUAGGGUGCGAGCGUUAAUCGGAAUUACUGGGCGUAAAGCGUGCGCAGGCGGUUAUGCAAGACAGAUGUGAAAUCCCCGGGCUUAACCUGGGAACUGCAUUUGUGACUGCAUAGCUCGAGUACGGCAGAGGGGGAUGGAAUUCCGCGUGUAGCAGUGAAAUGCGUAGAUAUGCGGAGGAACACCGAUGGCGAAGGCAAUCCCCUGGGCCUGUACUGACGCUCAUGCACGAAAGCGUGGGGAGCAAACAGGAUUAGAUACCCUGGUAGUCCACGCCCUAAACCGAUGUCAACUGGUUGUUGGACGGCUUGCUGUUCAGUAACGAAGCUAACGCGUGAAGUUGACCGCCUGGGGAGUCGGCCGCGAGGUUGAAACGUUAAGAGUAGUGCGNGNGAGAGCGACGACGACGACGACGGAGGGAGGAG